AGAGGAAGGUGUUGACAAGAAGACUUUUUUAAGUCUUGGAGAUUCAAACAGGCUUAAUGAGUUGAUUUCUAAAAUUGGACCAAGAGCUAAAUUCAAACAGAGACUUAAAGAAUACAUAAAGAGAGAAGGACUCAGUUUUGUCCAGGAUAAAUUAACAGAAUGGGAUCUCAGCGAGUUGAUUCAAACGUUUGUAGAACAUGGCAUCAACAAGGAAUCCUUCCUAUGUCUUGGAAAGUCAGACAGGAUGAACAUCUUGAUCCAAAAAAUUGGGCCAAGAGUAAAAUUUCGAAAGAGACUCAGAGACUAUUUACAGGAUCCAUCUCCUUUUCCACCACAUUUGGAGUCUACUUCAGGAUCUGACAGAGAUGACAGAGAUAAAGAUGUGGACCAGGAAAUGAAUGAGGAGCUGAUUUACCCCGGUGCAUCAGUAACUCGGGAACACGGCCUGCUUGCUACCAUUCUCUUCAUUCUGCGUCACCAGCUAACCUCCACAG
This is a long non-coding RNA of Melanotaenia boesemani (Boeseman's rainbowfish), 494 nucleotides long. RefSeq lists it as uncharacterized. NCBI's taxonomy places the organism in Eukaryota, Metazoa, Chordata, Actinopteri, Atheriniformes, Melanotaeniidae. The transcript is spliced from 5 exons. The record is from RefSeq and is a predicted model, not a curated record.